Zootermopsis nevadensis is the source of this 73-nucleotide non-coding RNA. The record is from Rfam. Lineage: Eukaryota; Metazoa; Arthropoda; Insecta; Blattodea; Termopsidae.
GCCACGGUGGUCUAGCGGUUAGAACGCUGGCCUUGUAAUCCUGGGGUCUCGGGUUUGAUUCCCGGCGGUGCCC